AUAAAAUAAAAAUAAUAAUAUAAGAGUAGUAAUAGUUAUUUUCUUAAAACUUAAAAAAUUUGGCGGUAUUUUAAUCUAUUCAGAGGAACCUGUUUUAUAAUUGAUAAUCCACAUUGAAUCUUACUUAAAAUUGUUUAGUUUGUAUAUCGUUGUCAAAAAAAAAUCUUAAAAAAGAAAUAAUUUUUUAAUUUUAAUAUUAUAAUUUAUGUCAAAUCAAGGUGCAGCUUAUAUUUAAGUAAAAAUGGGUUACAAUAAAUAUUUAUUUAUGAUGAAUUAAAAAAUUAAAAAUUUUUAUGAAAGAGGAUUUGAUAGUAAAUUUUUAAAGAUUAUAAAAUUGAUUUUAGUUCUAAAAUAUGU
RNAcentral lists this ribosomal RNA (357 nucleotides) under unidentified. RNAcentral describes it as "Neoplatyura nigricauda partial 12S ribosomal RNA". The record is from RNAcentral.